GUAUAUGUUGAAAAAUUUCUCCAUCUUUUCAGAGACAAAACUGAAACUUUGAUGGAACUAUCUGAUGAAAAGCGAAAUGAAAUAAAAAAGGCGGAAAGUGCAAGGUUCGUAUCCUAAUGAUUCAUUGGUAUUUUAGUUGAUUCUUCGUAUGUUUAGUAUAGUGUGUUGUAACAUAUGCAACUACAUUCACUGUCCUUCUUGAUUUGUAACAAGAACUGCUGAUGCCGUAAUCCAGAGUAUGCCCGUUCGCAGGUUAGGUGCUGGGUACGAGAUUGAAGUAUGUACAGAUGCAUCCUCGUUCUCAGGGCCUCUCGGCCGCGCGCGACCUUCAUGGUCCCUGGGAUACAUGGAACCGGAAGUGCAAGAAAACUUGCAGUAGUUUCUAAAGCGCAUACUCUUGAAUUGGGACGCUUUAGCACCCGUAACAAUUUUCGACUGAGAGAAGUAUUACAAAGAAACGAAGUAUUUCUGUUGACAUAUUUUGAUAGAAUAAUUUUGACUACCCCCAAAACGACUCAACUUCUGCGAAAUAGCAGUUCUCUGAGAAGCCAAUCAGAUCUCUCCCUUUAGUCGUCUAACCCAGAGCCUAAUUUUCAACGAGUGAAAAUGGCUCUGGGAACGAGAAUGGUACAGAUGUGUAACUUCAAUAAAAAAGUUGUCCAACGGUCGCCAACUUCCUAGCAAGUGUCGCUCGCGUGAUAAUUCCGUCAUUUGGUGAUACGUCUUGCUUUCAGAAAUGCUUUAAUAAGACCUUUUCAACAACUUUAAUUGCUUUCAACAACUUUAAACAUUCAACAUUGAUUGUUUAAUCCAAAAAUUUCGAUCCAAAAAAGCCGCAAUAGCAAGUGUCAUGGCGUGAGCAUGACGUGUACAUCUAGGGAAAUUUGAGGACACGAAGUCCUAUGAAGUUACACAUCAGUGGGGCCGGUUGUUCAAAGGUGGGUUAGCGCUUGCGUUAAAAUUUAACCUGCUGUUUUAGUUUGUGUAUUUCUGCAUGUCUGUUUAUUUUAACACGUCAGAGAAGUAAACUCCUACUGAUCCAGACAAGAUCACUGAAGAAAUAUUUUCAAAUUUACAGACAAGCUGUCACGAAGUUUGCUUUGAAUUUUAGGUUAACCUAGGGUUAAACUAACCCAGCUUUGAACAACUGGCCCCUGGUAUAUACUUAAUCUGUGCCUGUGCGCUUACGGGAGGCAUUCACCUGAAUAUUUUCAGAGGGGUGUGAAUUCCUCUUGUAAGCGCACUGGCUAUAGGAACGUGGCGACUGCAUUGCAACAGUUACGCCAAAAUCAUGGGCGUGGCCAAGAAGUCGACGUUCUGUAUGUCUCUAUUCUGUGUCCGUGUUGUCAAAAACUUCGUUUGCUUAUUAAACUCGUGGGCGUGACCAAGAAGUCGACGUUCUGUAUGUCUUUGUUCUGUGUCCGUGUUGUUGUAACGUCCCUUGCUCAUUAAACUCGCGGGCGUAGCCAAGAAGUCGACUUUCUGUAUGUCUUUAUUCUGUGUCUGUGUUGUCAAAAACGUCGUCAACUUUCUGUUUGUCUUUAUUCUGUGUCCGUGUUGUCAAAAACGUCGUUUGCUCAUUAAACUCGUGGGCGUAGCCAAGAAGUCGACUUUCUGUAUGUCUUUAUUCUGUGUCUGUGUUGUCAAGAACGUUUGCUUAUUAAACUCUUGGGCGUAGCCAAGAAGUCGACUGUCUGUAUGUCUUUAUUCUGUGUCCGUGUUGUCAAGAACGUCCCUUGCUUAUUAAACGCGUGGACGUAGCCAAGAAGUCAACUUUCUGUAUGUCUUUAUUCUGUGUCCGUAUUGUCAAAAACGUCGUUUGCUUAUUAAACUCUUGGGCGUAGCCAGAAGUCGACUGUCUGUAUGCCUUUAUUCUGAGUCCGUGUUGUCAGAAAUGUCGCUUGCUUAUUAAACUCGUGGGCGUAGCCAAUAAGUCGGCUUUCUGUAUGUCUCUAUUCUGUGUCCGUAUUGUCAAAAACGUCGUUUGCUAAAAAGCUAACGUUCUUUCUACGUUGUAGAUCCGCGACCACCCUGAGCAAAACAUCGUACAAACCGAAAGAAAAAGCGCUAAAAAUUUACACCGAUAGAUGAAUGGCGCAAAACUAAACGGAAUAAGAACAGGACCUGCCAGUUACAAGGUUUUGGUAUGUUUUAAAAUCUCCACAGAACCGAAAUCACAAGGAUGUAUAUAGUCAAUUAUCUUGGAGAUAGACGUCUUUUGUUGGGUACACGCGAAAGUUAAAAGGAAUAUGGCAAUUGAAAUUUAGUUUGUUUCAUUUGAAAGAACUUUUAAAAUUAUGCGGAAAACUAUUUUACAAAAUAUUUUGACUAAAAUCAUCAUAAAUCGGUGAGUUGGCCGCCAUCUUGGAUUAUUGUGGAUAUGCACGUUACGUCACAAGUAGGGACACGUAAAUAUUUUACCCAGAUAUACAAUGGUCAUUAUUGGCCCAAAAUUAUACUUUGGUCAUUAUUUCAAAAAUACAUCCUUUCGAUAAUUACGUCACAGCUACACUGUUUUCAACUUAGGACCACCUUAAAUGGAAAGGAUUUCAAGUUUUUUUCUCAUGGGCUACGCACAGAGAAGCAGAACAUCCUUCUUCAACACGUGCAUGAAAAUGAGAAAAAAACUUGAAAUCCUUUCCAUUUAUAUGGGAGUAGUUUUUCAUGGCUAAAAGCUUGUUUAUACUAUCAAAGUUUGUGUGAUCACAGUAUUCGAAGGAUUUGUAAGAAAUGUUUGAGGGAACUCACUCAAUGUUAAACACUUGAGUCAGUUCCCUCAACAUUUCUUACAAAUCAUUGGCAGACGAACAAUAAUUAACAAUUAUUCGCCGAAGCUAGGCGAGGUGAUUAUCGGUGAAUAAAAACCGAGACGAAGUCGAGGUUUUUAUUCACGAUAAUCACCGAGCCUGAGGUGAAUAAUUGUUUAUUAUAAUUUCAUAGGUGAUUAUUUGGGAAAAAAUAAGAAAAUACACAUUUCUUCGUCAUUUAAUUGACAAAAAGGCUUCGGCCGCCAUUUUGAAAAUCGCUUAGGUGAUUAUCGCGUGAUAAUCACCUCAACGGCAACCAAUCAACGUGGAGAAUUUUCAAUAAUCACCUAUGUAAUUAUACUAAAUGCUGAUAGUUCGUCGGAUUAUUCGUCCCGUCUUUAUACUAGACGAAUAAUAUAGAAGACGGAUUAUGCGUCCAAUCGCAUAAUGCGUCUCUAGUAUAAAAACGGCCAUUCAGAACUUAGAAUUUACCCAUAAGACUAAUCCAAGAUGGCGGACAGGUCAUUGGUUUCUGCCACAAUUUUGAACGUUCACAUGAGACAACCUUAAUUUAUCUGUCCUGUUCUGUCGACUCAACCAGUAGAAUUAUUCCUGGUACGUAUUAAUUAAAUGACCAAUUUCCAACCAUGUAGUUAGACGUAAAGUGUAUAGACAUAUAGGCGUACGGGGGGGGGGGGAUAAAUUUGCCCGACUAUUUUUAAAUUUUGCUCGACUUAUCGAAAAAUAUUAUCCGUUUAAAAUCCCCAAAUUAUUGUCGACGGGGAAUUAGAACAUUUUCCAAGCAGUUAAAAUCUUUCAAAACUUUGCACGUUUCUUGCAUUUUCGACUAUUAGAUAUUUCCCCCAUCACUCUGCCCAAUUUCACUGGUGGACUGUUCCCUGCCCCCUCCCCGUACAGCCGCCUCGUACAGUCGUACGCUUAUGUCCACAAAUACUUAAUGCACUAGACACUUCAUUUGCACAAAUUUGAAAUCAUAGCUGAUGUAGCAUAUAAAUAUACCGCAGAUUAUUGUAAUUUUGUUCCAUUAACGUUCGUUUAAAAACAAGAUUGGUUUGCUUUGUUGUAAUAUUGUAAUAUUGUAAUAACAUUAGACUUCAACUGAGUUUUGACCUUAGUUGACCAACCUCUGAAUCGCAAUGCAUUGUGGACUAUGUCUAUGGGGGCAGGUUUCAGGAAACUUUACAGAGCAGUAGAUGGUAGUGAAAUGUUGAUACGUUGCAAGAAAAUUUAACUACAUCUCUCCAUUUAUUUACUUCCAAGUAAACACUACUGCAUUGGCCAGACUGCGUAAGCCUGGUUUUCAUAUGGUCUUAACGGUCGUAAAGAUUGAGACACGAUCUUUCUCAUCAGCCGAGGUACAACAUUUUAGAACUGAAAAUACGCGGAGUGAUUAUAACUAGAGAAUACUUAUGAUUUAUAUGUGGUUUACAGGUAUAAACUAUAAUAAACUGACCGUUGAGAAAGAUCGUUACUCUAUUUUUACCACCAUAGAAACCAGGCUCAUUGUGAAACAUGAUAAGCAAUGUCAUGUAAUUUUCAUAUAUACUCUUACUAUUAUAAUAAUAUAGAUGAAAAAAUUGCUCAAUUCUACUGAUUAGUCGUCAUACACGCACGAGUGAGCACAAAGACGAAAUAACGUCAACGGACAUAAUUGUGCAUGAAUGUGUUCAGAGAAGUUUCUACCAACGGAUAUGCGUCAAGAUGAGAAAAUCAUCCUCUCAUCCAUACUGUAAAAGAAGCUUCACGCAUCAGUGAACGAAAACAAGACUAAACGAGACUUAACUUUCUAGAAGACUCCGUGGCGCCGCGGCUGGGAAUGUGAUCAGAGAAGUUUCUACCAACGACUACGAUAUGCGUCAAGGUGACAAAAUCAUCUUCUGACCAAUACUAUAGAAGUUGUUUCACGCAUCUGUGAACGAAAACAAACUAAACGAGACUCAACUUUCUAGAAGACUCCAUGGCGGAAGGGACAGAAUUGUGCAUGAAUGUGGUCAGAGAAGUUUCUACCAACGACCACGACGUAAAGGAUAUGCGUCAAGAUGACAAAAUCAUCCUCUGACGAAUACUAUAAAAGAAGCUUCACGCAUCAGUGAACGAAAAUACGUAACGAGACUCAACUCUCAGGAAGACCCCAUGGCUGAAGACGCUGCUUUAACGCGCUGAUACAAAGACGACAACAUGGAUAUUUUGUGGAUAAUCGACUGGACUGAUAUAUUACAAUGAUGAACUUCUGUACUGUUGCUAUGAAGUUGCAAUGCUCACUCGGACAGAUAAGUUUUACUGUAUAGAUUAAUUAACCAUAUAGCUUAAUAUAACUAAUGCUUUGCUAGUAAAAUAUAC
Paramuricea clavata is the source of this 5108-nucleotide non-coding RNA. The record is from the annotation of a GenBank genome assembly. Lineage: Eukaryota; Metazoa; Cnidaria; Anthozoa; Malacalcyonacea; Plexauridae.